RNAcentral lists this RNase P RNA (417 nucleotides) under gamma proteobacterium IMCC1989. RNAcentral's name for it is "Bacterial RNase P class A". It matches the Rfam family "Bacterial RNase P class A". Rfam says of the family: Ribonuclease P (RNase P) is a ubiquitous endoribonuclease, found in archaea, bacteria and eukarya as well as chloroplasts and mitochondria. Its best characterised activity is the generation of mature 5'-ends of tRNAs by cleaving the 5'-leader elements of precursor-tRNAs. Cellular RNase Ps are ribonucleoproteins. The record is from Rfam by way of RNAcentral. Lineage: Bacteria; Pseudomonadati; Pseudomonadota; Gammaproteobacteria; Alteromonadales.
GGAGUUGGCUCGGCAAUCGCUUUAUGUUUUGCUUGGGUGUUCAUUUUGAUUAUUCAAACUGGUCACCUAAGGCGGCACUAAGAGGAAAGUCCGGGCUCCAUAGGGUAGAGUGCCAGGUAACCUCUGGGGGGCGCGAGCCUACGGAAAGUGCAGCAGAAAAUAAACCGCCUGCUAUUUAUAGUCGGUAAGGGUGAAAUGGUGCGGUAAGAGCGCACCGCGCAACUGGUAACAGUUUGUGGCAUGGUAAACCCCACUCGGAGCAAGAUCAAAUAGGAAUCCAUUUGCUCAAGGCUUAGGCUUUUUGUAUAAGGCGUGAUCCGCGUUGGAUUCGGGUAGAUUGCUUAAGAUGUAUGGUGACAUGCAUCGUAGAUGAAUGAUUGUCCACGACAGAACCCGGCUUACAGGCCAACUCCAAUU